GACGAACGCUGGCGGCGUGCUUAACACAUGCAAGUCGAACGGAAAGGCCCUGCUUUUGUGGGGUGCUCGAGUGGCGAACGGGUGAGUAACACGUGAGUAACCUGCCCUUGACUUUGGGAUAACUUCAGGAAACUGGGGCUAAUACCGGAUAGGAGCUCCUGCUGCAUGGUGGGGGUUGGAAAGUUUCGGCGGUUGGGGAUGGACUCGCGGCUUAUCAGCUUGUUGGUGGGGUAGUGGCUUACCAAGGCUUUGACGGGUAGCCGGCCUGAGAGGGUGACCGGCGACAUUGGGACUGAGAUACGGCGCAGACUGCUACGGGAGGCAGCAGUGGGGAAUAUUGCACAAUGGGCGGAAGCCUGAUGCAGAAGCGCCGCGUGCGGGAUGACGGCCUUCGGGUUGUAAACCGCUUUCGCCUGUGACGAAGCGGGAGUGACGGUAAUGGGUAAAGAAGCACCGGCUAACUACGUG
This 468-nucleotide ribosomal RNA is filed under the name uncultured bacterium. RNAcentral's name for it is "partial 16S ribosomal RNA". It matches the Rfam family "Bacterial small subunit ribosomal RNA", at positions 28 to 507 of the family's 1533-position model. The record is from RNAcentral.